This 72-nucleotide transfer RNA is filed under the name Fukomys damarensis (Damara mole-rat). It matches the Rfam family "tRNA". Rfam says of the family: Transfer RNA (tRNA) molecules are approximately 80 nucleotides in length. Their secondary structure includes four short double-helical elements and three loops (D, anti-codon, and T loops). Further hydrogen bonds mediate the characteristic L-shaped molecular structure. tRNAs have two regions of fundamental functional importance: the anti-codon, which is responsible for specific mRNA codon recognition, and the 3' end, to which the tRNAs corresponding amino acid is attached (by aminoacyl-tRNA synthetases). tRNAs cope with the degeneracy of the genetic code in two manners: having more than one tRNA (with a specific anti-codon) for a particular amino acid; and 'wobble' base-pairing, i.e. permitting non-standard base-pairing at the 3rd anti-codon position. The record is from Rfam by way of RNAcentral. Lineage: Eukaryota; Metazoa; Chordata; Mammalia; Rodentia; Bathyergidae.
AGGGUUGUGGCUUAGUAGUAGAACACUUGCCUGUCAUGCAGGAAUCCCUAGGUUCGAUCCCUAGCACUGCAA